This 330-nucleotide ribosomal RNA is filed under the name Salmonella enterica subsp. enterica serovar Agona. RNAcentral describes it as "partial 23S ribosomal RNA". It matches the Rfam family "Bacterial large subunit ribosomal RNA", at positions 470 to 800 of the family's 2925-position model. The record is from RNAcentral. Lineage: Bacteria; Pseudomonadati; Pseudomonadota; Gammaproteobacteria; Enterobacterales; Enterobacteriaceae.
AUACUCCUGACUGACCGAUAGUGAACCAGUACCGUGAGGGAAAGGCGAAAAGAACCCCGGCGAGGGGAGUGAAAAAGAACCUGAAACCGUGUACGUACAAGCAGUGGGAGCACAGGUUUACCUGUGUGACUGCGUACCUUUUGUAUAAUGGGUCAGCGACUUAUAUUCUGUAGCAAGGUUAACCGCAUAGGGGAGCCGGAGGGAAACCGAGUCUUAAUUGGGCGUUAAGUUGCAGGGUAUAGACCCGAAACCCGGUGAUCUAGCCAUGGGCAGGUUGAAGGUUGGGUAACACUAACUGGAGGACCGAACCGACUAAUGUUGAAAAAUUAG